GGCUCGUUGGUCAAGGGGUAUGAUUCCCCUCGCUUUGGGUGCUGGAGAUCCCGGGUUCACAUCCCGGACGAGCCC
This is a non-coding RNA of Merluccius polli (Benguela hake), 75 nucleotides long. Lineage: Eukaryota; Metazoa; Chordata; Actinopteri; Gadiformes; Merlucciidae. The record is from the annotation of a GenBank genome assembly.